UACGUAGGGUGCGAGCGUUGUCCGGAAUUAUUGGGCGUAAAGAGCUCGUAGGCGGUCUGUCGCGUCGAUCGUGAAAACUUGGGGCUUAACCCUGAGCUUGCGGUCGAUACGGGCAUGACUGGAGUUCGGCAGGGGAGACUGGAAUUCCUGGUGUAGCGGUGAAAUGCGCAGAUAUCAGGAGGAACACCGGUGGCGAAGGCGGGUCUCUGGGCCGAUACUGACGCUGAGGCGCGAAAGCUAGGGUAGCGAACAGG
This 254-nucleotide ribosomal RNA is filed under the name uncultured bacterium. RNAcentral describes it as "partial 16S ribosomal RNA". It matches the Rfam family "Bacterial small subunit ribosomal RNA", at positions 524 to 776 of the family's 1533-position model. The record is from RNAcentral.